GAGGCGAACCGGGGGAACUGAAACAUCUAAGUACCCCGAGGAAAAGAAAUCAACCGAGAUUCCGAAAGUAGCGGCGAGCGAAAUUGGACUAGCCCUUAAGCUUUACACGCGUUAGACGAACGGUCUGGAAAGUCCGACGAUACAGGGUGAUAGUCCCGUAGUUGACGACGUGUGUUCAGUGAAAUCGAGUAGGGCGGGACACGUGAUAUCCUGUCUGAAUAUGGGGGGACCAUCCUCCAAGGCUAAAUACUACUGACUGACCGA
RNAcentral lists this ribosomal RNA (264 nucleotides) under Vibrio parahaemolyticus. Its description in RNAcentral is "partial 23S ribosomal RNA". It matches the Rfam family "Bacterial large subunit ribosomal RNA", at positions 176 to 487 of the family's 2925-position model. Lineage: Bacteria; Pseudomonadati; Pseudomonadota; Gammaproteobacteria; Vibrionales; Vibrionaceae. The record is from RNAcentral.